GAGAGAGAGAGAGAGAGAGAGAGAGAGAGAGAGAGAGAGAGCAGCAGCAAGAGCACACAGCAACGACGGCGCUCUGAUUCAAAUCAGCCGCCGCGCGCCGUGCGCCAAUCGCCGCGCGACACCACGGUGGUUGUUGUCGCGCGCCCGCCAAUCGUCCGUGAUGCUGCACGUGAGGCGCGUCGCGACAUCGGGCCUUCUCGCCGAAGCACCGCCGUUCGCUGUCUGGCUAAGCCGCGGCGUCGCUGCGCCGGCCGCUGGGACGUCCCGACGCGCGGUGGGCGACCGCGCCAUCAACCGCGGCGAGGUGUCGCGCGAGGUGAUGCGCCAGAAUUACCUACGAGUGCUCGACAAGUGCAAGUCGAAGAAGCUUCCGCAGGAUGUGAACCCGAAGGGUGUCUUCGCAUGCAACGAGCUCGACUUGAAAGAGGUCCAAGUCUAUGGAUUCGAUUACGAUUACACGCUGGCGUGCUACAAGCCGUCCAUGGACCACUUGCUCUACAGCCUGGGACGCGAUAUGCUCAUCAAGAAGUACAAGUACCCGGAGGGAAUUGCCAAUCUGGAGUACAGAGAAAAUUUCGCCGUCCGCGGCCUCCAUUACGACAUCGAAAAGGGUCUUCUCCUGAAGCUCGACAGCUUCUUGCAAAUUCAAUUUGGCACCGUUUACCGUGGUUUACAUCAGGUGCCCGACGACGAGGUCCUCCGGAUCUAUAAAAAUAGGAUAAUACCGAUAGCCUACGUGGAAGCACCGCAUAAACACUCUCACAAGGACGCUCUGCAUCGCACAAAAAUGGUCCAAUUGGCCGAUCUAUUCUCUGUGCCAGAGAUGGUCCUAUUGUGCAACGUCACGGAGUAUUUCCUGCGCAAUCACAUCGAUUAUCACCCGGAGAUACUGUUUAGGGACGUCAAGAAUUCCGUGCAAAGCUGCCACCCUAUAAUGCACCAACUAGUCGUGGAAAAUGUAUCGGAGUACCUGGAGCAGAAUAAAGACCUGAAGCGAUUUUUCAAGCGGCUGCAAAAGGCGAAGAAGAAUAUGUUCCUGGUCACAAACAGUCCUUUCCACUUUGUCGACAAGGGUAUGCAGUUUCUGGUGGGCGAGAACUGGAAGGACUACUUCGACGUGGUGAUCGUACAAGCGAGGAAACCGAGAUUCUUCACCGAGGAGUCGCGCCCGCUGAGGAUCUACGAUGAAGUCAAGCAAACGCAACUCUGGGAUCGCGUUACCAGGCUCGACAAGGGCGUCAUAUAUCUUGAAGGCACGGUCAAGCAGUUGCAGGAUAUGACCGGAUGGCGGGGACAUCAGGUAUUAUACUUUGGCGAUCACCCAUACAGCGACUUGGCGGACGUGACCUUGGAACACGGCUGGCGAACGGGGGCGAUAAUCAAGGAAUUAACGCACGAGAUCGAAACUUUGAACGACCCGAAGUUCAAAGAGAACGCGAACUGGCUUCAGAUGUUAACCGGCCUGAUCGAGGAGCAUCAGGAUUACGAAGGGCCUGAAGUGCAGAACGUGCUGGACGAAUGGAUGGAGGAGCGGGAUCAACUGCGAAACGAGAUCAAGUCGGUCUUCAACAAGCAGUUCGGCUCGGUGUUCAGAACGUACCACAACCCGACUUAUUUCUCCCGGAGGCUCUUCCGAUUCGCCGACAUCUACAUGAGCACGAUCACGAAUCUCUUGGAAUAUUCCACCAGUCACACCUUUUAUCCCAGACGGGGAGUGAUGCCGCACGAGUACACCAGUUACUUCGUGUGAGCGUCCUCGAGAUUUUUCUCGAAGUUGUCAAUCUUCGUUGCCGCCGUUUGCAUGAAAUAAUUGUCGUCCCUCUCAUAGAAGAGGCAUUCACACACCUUGGUCCACGGUCACACGGCAUACGAUUCACGCACGCGAUUGCACUAUAUAAAUCUAGUAAACCGUAACAUUUGCCGGCGCAACGUCGUCUGUUUCUGGGGACGGCAAAACAACAAAGUACCAUUCGUCGCUAAACUAUACUAGCAAAUUAAGAGCAAAAAAAAUAAAGUUUAUCGUCAUGUGAACUAUGGCAACGGUGGUUCGGCGUAUCCUAGGCAUUUGAAAUGAACGUACACGUAUA
This 2087-nucleotide unclassified non-coding RNA is filed under the name Harpegnathos saltator (Jerdon's jumping ant). RNAcentral's name for it is "5'-nucleotidase domain-containing protein 3, transcript variant X3". Lineage: Eukaryota; Metazoa; Arthropoda; Insecta; Hymenoptera; Formicidae. The record is from RNAcentral.